UACACCAACCUCACGUCCUGGCCCUCCUCCUGUUCUCUCUGUGUUGUCAUGUGUUGGAUCAGUCUGUGUUGUGGUUCUGCUGGUGUUACUGGUUCUGCUGGUGAGACGAUGUGUUCACAGGAAACCUGAAGUUGAUCAGGAUGAACCUGCAGAAGAUGACAUCAUGUAUAGUGACAUCAAAACAUCAAAUUGUCAACAACAACCAGUGAAACAAAGCCAAGAGACUGACACAGCUGUAGUGUACUCAGCAAUAAGAACUGACAACAUAAUUUAUGGACAAACAGACGUCACAGCAAAGAGGAACGGAG
Oreochromis niloticus (Nile tilapia) is the source of this 308-nucleotide long non-coding RNA. RefSeq lists it as uncharacterized. The transcript is spliced from 3 exons. NCBI's taxonomy places the organism in Eukaryota, Metazoa, Chordata, Actinopteri, Cichliformes, Cichlidae. The record is from RefSeq and is a predicted model, not a curated record.